This 328-nucleotide ribosomal RNA is filed under the name Allapsidae sp. RNAcentral's name for it is "SSU rRNA". The stretch from base 106 to 328 matches the Rfam family "Eukaryotic small subunit ribosomal RNA", at positions 731 to 955 of the family's 1831-position model. The record is from RNAcentral. Lineage: Eukaryota; Cercozoa; Glissomonadida; Viridiraptoridae.
GAUUUCUGACGAAACUGCUAGCUGGCCCGCCACGUCAGUGUGUGAGUGCCGGCUUGGCGUUUGUCAUCCGUUCGAACGAUAUGCGCGCUGCCCUUCACUGGGUUGGCGCUGCAUGUUUUCGAUCUUUUACUUUGAAAAAAUUAGAGUGUUUAAAGCAGGCUAUUGCUAUGAAUACAUUAGCAUGGAAUAAUAAUUUAGGACUUCGGUUCUAUUUUGUUGGUUUCUAGAACUGAAGUAAUGAUUGAUAGGGACAGUUGGGGGUGCUAGUAUUCAGCGGCCAGAGGUGAAAUUCUUGGAUUCGCUGAAGACUAACUUAUGCGAAAGCAUU